Molecule: transfer RNA, 74 nt
Filed under: Minisyncoccota bacterium
Lineage: Bacteria; Bacillati; Minisyncoccota
Description: tRNA-Arg
Rfam family: tRNA
About the family: Transfer RNA (tRNA) molecules are approximately 80 nucleotides in length. Their secondary structure includes four short double-helical elements and three loops (D, anti-codon, and T loops).
Source: RNAcentral
GCGUCCAUAGCUCAGGUGGAUAGAGCACUUGCCUUCUAAGCAGGUUGUCGCUGGUUCGAGUCCAGCUGGACGCA